Molecule: long non-coding RNA, 833 nt
Organism: Vitis vinifera (wine grape)
Lineage: Eukaryota; Viridiplantae; Streptophyta; Magnoliopsida; Vitales; Vitaceae
Exons: 2
Source: RefSeq, a predicted model, not a curated record
AAGAAAUCUCCAUGUAAGAUAUGAUGUGUUGUUCCUACCACCACGUGGCUAAAUUUCAUGGCCGGAUAACGUACCUAAACGUCACCCGGCCUUUUAUUUACUUAUUUUUGGUUUCAAAGAAAAAAUUUUCCCGCUUUUUUCUCAUUCAUGGCAUCGGUUUUUUCAGAUUCCCAAUUCGGUUGGAUCGGAUUGCAAGAAGGCAAAAUUCAAAGCACUGAUUUGACAUUAUGAAGAUUAAAGUGGUGGAUCCCAACUGUUUCACUAUGCCAAUCUCACAAAACUGAGGCGGUAGAAAAGGCCAAGAUGAUGGAGGUAGGAGGUGAUGCUAAUCCGACAAAAAAGUUUCCUACGUGUUUUAUUCUCUUCCUUACAUGGUCUUAUUGGGUUGCUAAGACUUUUAACCGACAGCAAAUCCAAUGACGGUACCAAAACUUUCUUACUUUCACAUGCAUGCCACAGUUCACACAGUUUCACCUUUAGGAGCCCUGUAGAAAAAGAAACCUUUAUGUUAUCUUCAUUACAGGAGAUUUUUUGUGUAAAUUGUCCUGAACAAUGCCAAGAACUCUGUAUCUGGCUGACUGGAUGUGUCCGUACAAUGAUUAUACUGUGUGUUUUUUUUUUUUUUUCUCAGAAGAAAGGUCCACACGUGUUACCUUUGCAGUUAGGACCCCCCCACCUGAAUACAGAGUUUUUCAGAGAUGGGGGAGCUUGCAGGCACUUGGCUUUCUAUCUGAUAGGUGUUUGAUUGCUUAGACAAAAAUUUCUGUUCCACCCAUUAUUCAAGAAUGACUUUGUACUCUGAGGAUGCCAAAUGUACUUUCUAGAUUUCUUUC